GAUGAACGCUGGCGGCGUGCCUAAUACAUGCAAGUCGAGCGAACAGACGAGGAGCUUGCUCCUCUGACGUUAGCGGCGGACGGGUGAGUAACACGUGGAUAACCUACCUAUAAGACUGGGAUAACUUCGGGAAACCGGAGCUAAUACCGGAUAAUAUAUUGAACCGCAUGGUUCAAUAGUGAAAGACGGUUUUGCUGUCACUUAUAGAUGGAUCCGCGCCGCAUUAGCUAGUUGGUAAGGUAACGGCUUACCAAGGCGACGAUGCGUAGCCGACCUGAGAGGGUGAUCGGCCACACUGGAACUGAGACACGGGCCAGACUCCUACGGGAGGCAGCAGUAGGGAAUCUUCCGCAAUGGGCGAAAGCCUGACGGAGCAACGCCGCGUGAGUGAUGAAGGUCUUCGGAUCGUAAAACUCUGUUAUUAGGGAAGAACAAAUGUGUAAGUAACUAUGCACGUCUGGACGGUACCUAAUCAGAAAGCCACGGCUAACUACGU
Molecule: ribosomal RNA, 496 nt
Filed under: uncultured bacterium
Lineage: Bacteria
Description: partial 16S ribosomal RNA
Rfam family: Bacterial small subunit ribosomal RNA
Source: RNAcentral